RNAcentral lists this ribosomal RNA (250 nucleotides) under uncultured bacterium. RNAcentral's name for it is "partial 16S ribosomal RNA". It matches the Rfam family "Bacterial small subunit ribosomal RNA", at positions 524 to 773 of the family's 1533-position model. The record is from RNAcentral.
UACAGAGGGUGCAAGCGUUAAUCGGAAUUACUGGGCGUAAAGAGCGCGUAGGCGGUUGGACAAGUCGGGUGUGAAAGCCCCGGGCUUAACCUGGGAAUUGCAUUCGAUACUGUCUGGCUAGAGUAUGGUAGAGGGAAGGGGAAUUCCACAUGUAGCGGUGAAAUGCGUAGAUAUGUGGAGGAACAUCAGUGGCGAAGGCGCCUUCCUGGACCAAUACUGACGCUGAGGGGCGAAAGCGUGGGGAUCAAAC